AUUUAAUAUCCGGGAAUGAGUGAUUCUUUUCUGAGGAAAAGAAUUUAAAAGGGAAGUCAGUAAGAGUCUGACGCGGUCCCGCCACUGUAAUAGGGAGUUGCUUCACAUAGUGUCACUGGAUUUGUUUCGGGAAGACGUGGAGUAAUGAUGACCUAAAGCCAGGAAACCUGCUUGUUUCGUAAGCGGUGG
RNAcentral lists this non-coding RNA (189 nucleotides) under Desulfosporosinus youngiae. Lineage: Bacteria; Bacillati; Bacillota; Clostridia; Eubacteriales; Desulfitobacteriaceae. RNAcentral also lists the same sequence under 1 other name. The record is from RNAcentral.